GAUGAACGCUGGCGGCGUGCCUAAUACAUGCAAGUCGAGCGAACGGACGAGAAGCUUGCUUCUCUGAUGUUAGCGGCGGACGGGUGAGUAACACGUGGAUAACCUACCUAUAAGACUGGGAUAACUUCGGGAAACGGUAGCUAAUACCGGAUAAUAUUUUGAACCGCAUGGUUCAAAAGUGAAAGACGGUCUUGCUGUCCCUUAUAGAUAGAUCCGCGCUGCAUUAGCUAGUUGGUAAGGUAACGGCUUACCAAGGCAACGAUUCAUAGCCGACCUGAGAGGGUGAUCGGCCACACUGGAACUGAGACACGGCCCAGACUCCUACGGGAGGCAGCAGUAGGGAAUCUUGCGCAAUGGGCGAAAGCCUGACGGAGCAACGCCGCGUGAGUGAUGAAGGUCUUCGGAUCGUAAAACUCUGUUAUUAGGGAAGAACAUAUGGGUAAGUAACUGUGCACAUCUUGACGGUACCUAAUCAGAAAGCCACGGCUAACUACGUG
RNAcentral lists this ribosomal RNA (497 nucleotides) under uncultured bacterium. Its description in RNAcentral is "partial 16S ribosomal RNA". It matches the Rfam family "Bacterial small subunit ribosomal RNA", at positions 28 to 507 of the family's 1533-position model. The record is from RNAcentral.